UAUGCAGUGUGCAAUUAUUCCAUUAGGGUGCGUUUGGUUCAAGUUAUCCUGGCAGGAUUACAGGCAAUCCUGUCAGAAUAACUGUGUUUGGUUAAUCCGCUAUGUAAUCUAGUCGUUAAUGUAACAUUACAAAUCGAGCAGGAUUACAUCGAAAAUAUUAACGGGAGGGGGGUCGUGUAUCUUGCAUUACUGAAACCCGUUAAUACUACAUAUUAUGUAAAAUGACAAUUUGACCCUCCAAUAACCCAAAAUCUAAUUAACAGCAUUAUUUUCAUCUCUCUCUCGCCGUCCCAUGGCCCUCUCUCUCGCACGCCGCUUUCUCUCGCUCUCUCUCUCAACGUCUCUCUCUCUCUCUCUCUCUCACACGAACACCUAUCAUCUUCUAUUGCGUCGUCCUCCGAAGUAAUCAUCACGAUCUCCUUCCCUCCAUUCAUUAUUUCCGUAAAAAAUAAUAUUCAAAUGACCACAACAAGGAUAAUUUUGGAAAAAACUAUACUUUUAUGUCAGGAUUACUAAAUUUUAUAAACUGAACCAAACAUAUUAAUACUAUAAAUACUGUAAUCUAGUAUUAUAUUACUGUAUUAAACCAAACGCUCUAAUGCAGCAUUAGUAGUAAUCUCACGCCGAAAUUCAAAAUACCUGGAUAUAUCGAGAUACUUUGUAAUAUUACAUAACUCAAACCAAACGGGCCCUUAUAGUUAAAUUGUACUUUACCAUUCAUGUACUUUAAUCUUCGCUUA
This 740-nucleotide long non-coding RNA is filed under the name Ananas comosus (pineapple). RNAcentral describes it as "long non-coding RNA (ACOM_LNC004544)". Lineage: Eukaryota; Viridiplantae; Streptophyta; Magnoliopsida; Poales; Bromeliaceae. The record is from RNAcentral.